UACAGAGGGUGCGAGCGUUAAUCGGAAUUACUGGGCGUAAAGGGCGCGUAGGCGGCUAUUCAAGUCAAAGGUGAAAUCCCUCGGCUUAACCGGGGAACUGCAUCUGAUACUGGAUGGCUUGAGUUCGGGAGAGGGAUGCGGAAUUCCAGGUGUAGCGGUGAAAUGCGUAGAUAUCUGGAGGAACACCGGUGGCGAAGGCGGCAUCCUGGACCGACACUGACGCUGAGGAGCGAAAGCCAGGGGAGCAAACGGG
Molecule: ribosomal RNA, 253 nt
Filed under: uncultured bacterium
Lineage: Bacteria
Description: partial 16S ribosomal RNA
Rfam family: Bacterial small subunit ribosomal RNA
Source: RNAcentral